CCGACCACGUGGGAGCGCCUCUGCUCCGGCUCCGCGGCCGCCCCUCACUGAGCUGGGCCCAGGGAGGGAAGGAGGCGCGCUGCAAAGCCCGGCCGGGCCGUGGGGGCUGCCAGCAUGGCAGAGGGCCUGCGCUGCAGCAGCAUUAGUCACCGCCUGCCUACGCUUCCUUCAUCCCAAGCAUGGCACAGCCCUGGGCUGAGGGGGCACGAAGGCCGGAUCUUUGUGCGCAGUUUGGUUGCUGACCCGUGAGGGCGAACCGGCUUGGCAUGGUCCAGCUGAUGGGCACAACUGUGUUUAAAAAGUGUCUUUCAGGAGCAGCUGCAGGGGACGUCGGAGGGGAAACCAGCAAGGCAGGAGGGUCUGGGUCCACUGGAGAGAGCGGAUCUGCAGGCCCAGAAACGUCGAGCCCGAGGAAGGCAUUACAAUGCAACGGUUGUCUGUGCGUGCCGGGGACAGCGCACACCCCUCCCGCACAACGCUGCAUUUUACUCGGUAGUAAGCAUCCACGCGGCUAGGACUAGCUCUCCGAUGCUAGCCGCCUCCAAUCAACGAAUGGGGAAUAAUCCCAUUUAGUACAACACAUUGCCAUCGGGGGAGCCAAGGGCUUGAUGGAACCUUAAGACUAAUCAACUUCAGGAACCAGUGACAUCAGUAAAUCCCAAGGAUUGAAAUGCAAGGAAGAGAAACUCUGGCAUCCUCUCGUGGAGCAGUGACCCACUACUCUCCCAAACGGUGCAGCAGCUAGCCGUGCACAAGGGACUGACAGCAUCAAUUUUGAAACAGCCUGGGAGAGGAGAGGAUUUCUCUCUGGAGAUCCCUUCAUCACUGGGAGGAGUACACAGGAGCCAAACAUUUGAGGACACUUUGCCAGCUCUCAUCAACCAUCCUGAACCAGCCACCCCAAUUGAUUCUGCUACACACUUGUCUAUCUGUAAUGACAGCCACUACAGAAGGUUAAUAGACAAUAAACUGUAGCCUAACAAGGUCGUUUCCUGAAAUGAUUCGCUGAUCGUUACGUAUGACCUACUAGAUAGGGGAAAUU
Molecule: long non-coding RNA, 1042 nt
Organism: Alligator mississippiensis (American alligator)
Lineage: Eukaryota; Metazoa; Chordata; Crocodylia; Alligatoridae
Exons: 3
Source: RefSeq, a predicted model, not a curated record